AUUGAACGCUGGCGGCGUGCUUAACACAUGCAAGUCGAUCGGUAACGCGGGGGCAACCCUGGCGACGAGAGGCGGACGGGUGAGGAACGCUUGGGAAUCUGCCCUUCAGCGGGGGACAACACGGGGGAAACUCGUGCUAAUACCGCAUACGCUCCACGGAGGAAAGCCGGGGACCGCAAGGCCUGGCACUGAAGGAUGAGCCCAAGUCGGAUUAGCUAGUUGGCGGGGUAACGGCCCACCAAGGCGACGAUCCGUAGCUGGUCUGAGAGGACGAUCAGCCACACUGGGACUGAGACACGGCCCAGACUCCUACGGGAGGCAGCAGUGGGGAAUAUUGGACAAUGGGGGAAACCCUGAUCCAGCGACGCCGCGUGGGUGAAGAAGGCCUGCGGGUUGUAAAGCCCUUUCGGUAGGGACGAAAGCUCUCGACCUAACACGUCGGGAGGUUGACUUAACCUACAGAAGAAGCACCGGCUAACUCUGUGCCAGCAGCCGCGGUAAU
Molecule: ribosomal RNA, 502 nt
Filed under: uncultured bacterium
Lineage: Bacteria
Description: bacterial SSU rRNA
Rfam family: Bacterial small subunit ribosomal RNA
Source: RNAcentral